Molecule: long non-coding RNA, 308 nt
Filed under: Lathyrus oleraceus (garden pea)
Lineage: Eukaryota; Viridiplantae; Streptophyta; Magnoliopsida; Fabales; Fabaceae
Description: Pisum sativum (pea) long non-coding RNA (PSAT_LNC012865)
Source: RNAcentral
AAGGGCGAAGCAGUUACAGUGUAUGAAUAACAUAAAUAUGAGCGAAAAUAGGAAAUAAUAAUAAGGUUUGUUAAGGUUUAAGAAAAGGUUUAUGGUUUAGAGGAAACAACACGGUUAAAGUUUUAGGUUUGAAAUUUAGAGUUUGUGGCGAAAUUGUCAGGGUUUAGGAAAAAUCAGGGUAGUUAGUUAUGAAAAAAAUGUGCAGAUCUAAAUAUAUGUAUAUAAAAAAAAAAUGAAUUAAAAAAAAACAACGGCGUUGCUAGCGCAAAAUUGCGAUCAUCGCAACUGGAUCGGAUAACACAAAUGUC